This 351-nucleotide ribosomal RNA is filed under the name uncultured bacterium. Its description in RNAcentral is "bacterial SSU rRNA". It matches the Rfam family "Bacterial small subunit ribosomal RNA", at positions 976 to 1326 of the family's 1533-position model. The record is from RNAcentral.
UGGGUUUGACAUAUACCUGCCCCCACUGGAAACAGUGGUUUCUCUUCGGAGACGAGUAUACAGGUGCUGCAUGGCUGUCGUCAGCUCGUGCCGUGAGGUGUUCGGUUAAGUCCGGCAACGAGCGCAACCCGUGUCGCUAGUUACCAUCAGGUGAAGCUGGGGACUCUAGUGAGACUGCCCGUGUCAAGCGGGAGGAAGGCGCGGAUGACGUCAAGUCAGUAUGGCCCUUAUGUCCAGGGCUGCACACGUGCUACAAUGGGCGGCACAGAAGGAACCGAUACCGCGAGGUGGAGGAAAUCCCGAAAACCGUCCCCAGUUCGGAUCGGAGUCUGCAACCCGACUCCGCGAAGU